Molecule: ribosomal RNA, 253 nt
Filed under: uncultured bacterium
Lineage: Bacteria
Description: partial 16S ribosomal RNA
Rfam family: Bacterial small subunit ribosomal RNA
Source: RNAcentral
UACGGGGGGGGUAAGCGUUGUUCGGAAUUACUGGGCGUAAAGGGCUCGUAGGCGGCCAACUAAGUCAGACGUGAAAUCCCCAGGCUCAACUUGGGAACUGCGUCUGAUACUGGAUGGCUUGAAUUCGGGAGAGGGAUGCAGAAUUCCAGGUGUAGCGGUGAAAUGCGUAGAUAUCUGGAGGAAUACCGGUGGCGAAGGCGGCAUCCUGGACCGAGAUUGACACUGAUGAGCGAAAGCUAGGGGAGCAAACGGG